This 332-nucleotide long non-coding RNA is filed under the name Coturnix japonica (Japanese quail). RNAcentral describes it as "lncRNA (ENSCJPG00005013286.1)". Lineage: Eukaryota; Metazoa; Chordata; Aves; Galliformes; Phasianidae. The record is from RNAcentral.
UAUAUAUAUUUUUUUUCUAUAACAACUUCUAUCCCUAUUUAUUUGCAUUUUUUUCAUUUCUGUCUGUUUUCUUCUUACAGUGAAAGUUAUUUAUCAAGAACCUUUAAUUGUGGUCAUCAGGAUACAACUUAGAAAUGAAUACUUUUCAUUUUGCAAGGAGAAGGAUUCCUGUUACCGAACAGAAAAUUUGAUUCAGGUAUGUCAACCAAGCCUUUUCUCUAAGAUUCUCAACUCUUCUUUAUCAACUGUAGUAGCAAACUAGAAAGUAACAUUAGGUAAAACUUUUGUAUUGCAAGAAUAAAGAGAUAUGAACCACUCUGAAGGGUAUCUGC